AGCAGUCGCCGCGGUAAAACGGAGGAUCCAAGCGUUAUCCGGAAUCAUUGGGUUUAAAGGGUCCGUAGGCGGUCUUGUAAGUCAGUGGUGAAAGCCCAUCGCUCAACGGUGGAACGGCCAUUGAUACUGCAGGACUUGAAUUAUUGGGAAGUAACUAGAAUAUGUAGUGUAGCGGUGAAAUGCUUAGAGAUUACAUGGAAUACCAAUUGCGAAGGCAGGUUACUACCAAUUGAUUGACGCUGAUGGACGAAAGCGUGUGUAGCGAACAGGAUUAGAUACCCCUGUAGUCCCUGUCUUUUAUAC
Molecule: ribosomal RNA, 303 nt
Filed under: uncultured bacterium
Lineage: Bacteria
Description: partial 16S ribosomal RNA
Rfam family: Bacterial small subunit ribosomal RNA
Source: RNAcentral